AACGAACGCUGGCGGCAUGCCUAACACACGCAAGUCGAACGAAGUCUUCGGACUUAGUGGCGCACGGGUGCGUAACGCGUGGGAAUCUGCCCUUGGGUGCGGAAUAACUUCUCGAAAGGGAUGCUAAUACCGCAUAAUGUCGUAAGACCAAAGAUUUAUCGCCCAAGGAUGAGCCCGCGUAAGAUUAGCUAGUUGGUGGGGUAAAAGCCUACCAAGGCGACGAUCUUUAGCUGGUCUGAGAGGAUGAUCAGCCACACUGGGACUGAGACACGGCCCAGACUCCACGGGAGCAGCAGUGGGGAAUAUUGGACAAUGGGCGAAAGACCUGAUCCAGCAAU
RNAcentral lists this ribosomal RNA (338 nucleotides) under uncultured bacterium. RNAcentral's name for it is "bacterial SSU rRNA". It matches the Rfam family "Bacterial small subunit ribosomal RNA", at positions 29 to 395 of the family's 1533-position model. The record is from RNAcentral.